RNAcentral lists this ribosomal RNA (436 nucleotides) under Klebsiella pneumoniae. RNAcentral's name for it is "bacterial SSU rRNA". It matches the Rfam family "Bacterial small subunit ribosomal RNA", at positions 192 to 609 of the family's 1533-position model. Lineage: Bacteria; Pseudomonadati; Pseudomonadota; Gammaproteobacteria; Enterobacterales; Enterobacteriaceae. The record is from RNAcentral.
GUCGCAAGACCAAAGUGGGGGACCUUCGGGCCUCAUGCCAUCAGAUGUGCCCAGAUGGGAUUAGCUAGUAGGUGGGGUAACGGCUCACCUAGGCGACGAUCCCUAGCUGGUCUGAGAGGAUGACCAGCCACACUGGAACUGAGACACGGUCCAGACUCCUACGGGAGGCAGCAGUGGGGAAUAUUGCACAAUGGGCGCAAGCCUGAUGCAGCCAUGCCGCGUGUGUGAAGAAGGCCUUCGGGUUGUAAAGCACUUCGAGCGGGGAGGAAGGCGGUGAGGUUAAUAACCUCAUCGAUUGACGUUACCCGCAGAAGAAGCACCGGCUAACUCCGUGCCAGCAGCCGCGGUAAUACGGAGGGUGCAAGCGUUAAUCGGAAUUACUGGGCGUAAAGCGCACGCAGGCGGUCUGUCAAGUCGGAUGUGAAAUCCCCGGGCU